RNAcentral lists this ribosomal RNA (301 nucleotides) under uncultured bacterium. RNAcentral describes it as "partial 16S ribosomal RNA". It matches the Rfam family "Bacterial small subunit ribosomal RNA", at positions 509 to 809 of the family's 1533-position model. The record is from RNAcentral.
CAGUAGCCGCGGUAAUACGUAGGUGGCAAGCGUUGUCCGGAAUUAUUGGGCGUAAAGCGCGCGCAGGCGGAUAGGUCAGUCUGUCUUAAAAGUUCGGGGCUUAACCCCGUGAUGGGAUGGAAACUGCCAAUCUAGAGUAUCGGAGAGGAAAGUGGAAUUCCUAGUGUAGCGGUGAAAUGCGUAGAUAUUAGGAAGAACACCAGUGGCGAAGGCGACUUUCUGGACGAAAACUGACGCUGAGGCACGAAAGCCAGGGGAGCGAACGGGAUUAGAUACCCCGGUAGUCCCUGUCUCUUAUACA